ACUCCUACGGGAGGCAGCAGUGGGGAAUAUUGCACAAUGGGCGCAAGCCUGAUGCAGCCCAUGCCGCGUGAUGUGCAAAGGCCUUCGGGUUGUAAAGCACUUUCAGUCGUGAGGAAGGUAGUGUAGUUAAUAGCUGCAUUAUUUGACGUUAGCGACAGAAGAAGCACCGGCUAACUCCGUGCCAGCAGCCGCGGUAAUACGGAGGGUGCGAGCGUUAAUCGGAAUUACUGGGCGUAAAGCGCAUGCAGGUGGUUUGUUAAGUCAGAUGUGAAAGCCCGGGGCUCAACCUCGGAAUUGCAUUUGAAACUGGCAGACUAGAGUACUGUAGAGGGGGUGAGAAUUUCAGGUGUAGCGGUGAAAUGCGUAGAGAUCUGAAGGAAUACCGGGUGGCAAGGCGGCCCCCUGGACGAUACUGACACUCAGA
This 424-nucleotide ribosomal RNA is filed under the name uncultured bacterium. Its description in RNAcentral is "bacterial SSU rRNA". It matches the Rfam family "Bacterial small subunit ribosomal RNA", at positions 335 to 751 of the family's 1533-position model. The record is from RNAcentral.